UUAAAUAUGUACUCCCUUAAGGAAUGAACAUAUUAUGGUGAAAUAUUGCUCCCCCGCGUCCCCUACAAAUCUGCCUAGAGAUGUGGAUACCUACAUUUGCUUAAGCAUCAGACCAGUGUUUGUAUAUACCCGGGCCAUACACACUCAUCUCGACGUCUCUCUGCGGAUGUAUUUCCCCUUCACUGGUGACCUGGUAUUUAGAACUCCGUCUUUUCAGUUGGUUUAUUUCCCUUUAAUGUGAUGUCUCUGUGCCGAUUAUUACCGGUUCUUACUUGUUUUUGCAAUCCGUUUUGAGGUCCAGUGUUUUACUGAGACUCAUUGCAUCUUGGCUGAUUUCAAAGUGACACCCGAAUACAGUGUUUAAAAAAAAAGUUUGUUUGUAAAUCAUGUGACCAGCUUCUCUCACCCUGACAUGGAAUGUCUCUUGUACUACAGUGUAUUUAAUAAUAAAAGAAAAAAAUGAUGUCUUACAAUAAAUAACAUCUUCC
Molecule: long non-coding RNA, 488 nt
Filed under: Mus musculus (house mouse)
Lineage: Eukaryota; Metazoa; Chordata; Mammalia; Rodentia; Muridae
Description: long non-coding RNA chr13:59133474-59133962
Source: RNAcentral